AAAUUGAAGAGUUUGAUCAUGGCUCAGAUUGAACGCUGGCGGCAGGCCUAACACAUGCAAGUCGAACGGUAACAGGAAGCAGCUUGCUGCUUUGCUGACGAGUGGCGGACGGGUGAGUAAUGUCUGGGAAACUGCCUGAUGGAGGGGGAUAACUACUGGAAACGGUGGCUAAUACCGCAUAACGUCGCAAGACCAAAGAGGGGGACCUUCGGGCCUCUUGCCAUCAGAUGUGCCCAGAUGGGAUUAGCUAGUUGGUGAGGUAACGGCUCACCAAGGCGACGAUCCCUAGCUGGUCUGAGAGGAUGGCCAGCCACACUGGAACUGAGACACGGUCCAGACUCCUACGGGAGGCAGCAGUGGGGAAUAUUGCACAAUGGGCGCAAGCCUGAUGCAGCCAUGCCGCGUGUAUGAAGAAGGCCUUCGGGUUGUAAAGUACUUUCAGCGGGGAGGAAGGUGUUGUGGUUAAUAACCGCAGCAAUUGACGUUACCCGCAGAAGAAGCACCGGCUAACUCCGUGCCAGCAGCCGCGGUAAUACGGAGGGUGCAAGCGUUAAUCGGAAUUACUGGGCGUAAAGCGCACGCAGGCGGUCUGUCAAGUCGGAUGUGAAAUCCCCGGGCUCAACCUGGGAACUGCAUUCG
RNAcentral lists this ribosomal RNA (639 nucleotides) under Salmonella enterica. RNAcentral's name for it is "bacterial SSU rRNA". It matches the Rfam family "Bacterial small subunit ribosomal RNA", at positions 1 to 629 of the family's 1533-position model. The record is from RNAcentral. RNAcentral also lists the same sequence under 1 other name. Lineage: Bacteria; Pseudomonadati; Pseudomonadota; Gammaproteobacteria; Enterobacterales; Enterobacteriaceae.